Molecule: long non-coding RNA, 2171 nt
Organism: Anolis carolinensis (green anole)
Lineage: Eukaryota; Metazoa; Chordata; Lepidosauria; Squamata; Anolidae
Exons: 2
Source: RefSeq, a predicted model, not a curated record
AUUGUUCUGCAGCCAAACAUUUCACACAUUAAUCAGAGCUGAGGCUUAAAGUACAAAUGGGGGUGAAUCGGAAAAUGAGCUGAUGAGGUUUGCUGCUCCCAACUGCUUUGAUUUUGCCCUGUGUGCAUGUGUAUGAACAAAAAGAAAUAAAGGAACACAGGGGAAUGGAAGAAAGGGGUCAGAACUAAAAAGUAAAAAAGUCAACCCUUCCAGAAUUUUUACUCCUUCUUUUGCCUUCAGCCAUUCAAGUCUUAUGUGGUCACCUUGUAUAAAUCAAAAACACCAGAGCAUUGUUGCAUGCAUAGUACCACACACAGACUCCCAAAGGGAACUUCAUGUCUUUGAAGGCACAUGGACAUAGCUUUAUAAUUAUGUUAUGUGUGAUUGGGGUUAUAAUACAACACAGGAAAACAAUAAUGAAUAAAAAUUGCCCUUGGAGGGUUUUUCAUUCACUAGAAACAGAUGCAGAGGGAGGGGGAAGUAAUUUGAAGAUUUUCAAUGUAGAAAGAGUCAUGUUUGCUGCUUGUGGACAAGGCAGUGGAAAUAGGAUCAACUCACACAAUAAUAUGUUUGCACUUAAUUAACUCAGAAAUGGGAGUGGGGGUAAGGAGGGUCCCAAAUUUUGCUUUUUCCAGUGGGUUCAGGCAAAAGCAAAUUGCUUCAGCCCCUCCUAACUUGUGAGUUUAUUUUCAUUAAUAACUUUUUUCAUGUUUGGCAUACUCUGAAGUUGCUUGGCCACAUGGCCCCGUUUUCAUCUGGGAAAUAUUGAAAGUUAUGAAAACAGCACUUUGUUUUUUCCUAUUUUUGUUCAAUUCACAUGGGAAUCUAUGCUGUCAUAUGACCUUUCCUAAAUGCUACUAUCUUCAGAGUUCAUUUCUUAAAGUAAGUGUCUAGCUUUUCUGAAAACAGGUUUAAAUUUAUAAGAAGCAAAUGCUCUCCGUCUUGUGAAGAUGCAGACUUCUUUCAAUUGCUCAGGACAGUCAGCAUAAAUUACUCUUUGAAGGAGCAUCUGAGAGCAUACAUCCCCCUCAAACAAGGCGUUUUUCAGCAGAAAUAAAAGGGAAAAAUAAACAAAUAAGAUGGUUUCAAAUCAGCUCUACAUUUUGACUCAUAAAAAGAGGUUAUUGUUUGAUUGAGACCAAAAUACAGAUGCCAGCCAAGCAGCACUGUCAGAACAACUGGAAACAAUUUCAGAAAAACCUCCAAGGACUUUAUCACACAAGGCGGACAAACCAACAUUCAAGCUGGAAGUCUUGAUUGCAUGACCUAAACUGGUGCAAUUUUUAAAUGAUAUUUUUAUAAUUGAUGUUUUUAAUUAUCUGUUUUUAAUUGUAUCAUUUUUAUAACUGUUUGUUUUUGGCAUCUAAUGACUGCUGAUUGUGAAGCCGCCCUGAGCCUCCCCCUCCAGUGGUGACAAGGACAGGAUACAAAUGUAUGAAAUAAGUAAAUGAUAUCAUGUACAUCUCAAUUGGCCUGCCUCCUCCCCAUGAUCAACCAAUCUCUGACUACUUACAGGUGAAAUGUGUCAAUAACUCACAAUCCCACAAUAUUCCCAUCACAUUUUGUGCAAUGGAUCCGUUCCACAUCUCUCCUGAAAUGUCAGGAGUACAGUGAUAUAGGGGUUGGGAUUCUCUUCCUUCUCCAUGCAAUCCCCUCAUGAUGCUCAAGUUUCAGUAGAUCUAUAUUUAUCAUGCAUACUCAUUAAUGGUCUCUUACUUUCCUGUUAUAUUUAAUAGUUUUGAUCCUGACCUCCAUGAGAUGCCUGUACAGUUAUGUUGAGCACUUGAGCAAUGCGACAAAUAUUGAGUUAUCAGGAGAUAUGAGAGGGUGGUAGAUUGAUGCUUCAAGCACAAAAUCAAAGCAUAUCUGGUGUUUCUGUAUUCCAGGUAAAACAAACCAAACAUAGGAUGUGGUGUCAGAGUAUUGGUGGAUCUUAAUGAAUGAGGCCAUUGGUCUGUGGCUGGCUACGGAACAGAGGGAGCUGCAUUGGAUAAAUGCCAGGAUUGAAUGAAACACAGUAAAAGAAUUGUCUGAGCUUCCCGCCAUCUACUCAGAUAUUGAUUAUGAACUAUCAGGAAACACUGUGGAGGCAAAUAGAUAAUACCAGUAGAAGGGACCACCAAGAAGAACAAAAGUAAGAAGAAACUUCAAAUAAAUGUAUCAGAAAAGUA